This 141-nucleotide ribosomal RNA is filed under the name Paenibacillus pabuli. Its description in RNAcentral is "partial 23S ribosomal RNA". It matches the Rfam family "Bacterial large subunit ribosomal RNA", at positions 2777 to 2925 of the family's 2925-position model. RNAcentral also lists the same sequence under 2 other names. Lineage: Bacteria; Bacillati; Bacillota; Bacilli; Caryophanales; Paenibacillaceae. The record is from RNAcentral.
GCAUCUAAGCGUGAAGCCCCCCUCAAGAUGAGAUUUCCCAGUAUGUAAGACCCCUUGAAGACGACGAGGUAGAUAGGCUGGGGGUGGAAGUGCAGCAAUGCAUGGAGCUGACCAGUACUAAUCGGUCGAGGGCUUAUCCAA